GGAAACAAGCACCCAUUUGCGCCCACCCAAAAUUUCCCAAAAUUUUCGUCCCCAAAAACCUGAUACCCAUUAACCCCAAAUUUUCGUCCCCAGAAACCUAAUAUCCAUUAACCCAAAAUGUCAUCUUCUUCAAAUCUUCUUCUCUCAAUUAAGAUUUUUUCAAUCUUCACUCAAAUUUCCUCCAAAACCGAUGGCUAGAUCCCUCUCUCUCUCUAAUCAAAUCCAUCUCCACCCCCGCCACAAGAGUCACCUCCUUCCCCUCAGCCCAUCGUCGCGCCUCGUAUCUCUCUGCACUCAAUCCAACCAAACCGACCUCUCCGACCUUUCCACUUCUUCCGACUCCACCAUCGACCCUUUGCACUCGACUUCAUUAUCGAUGCAAUGUUUUGUUUUAAUUAGCUGUUUGCUUAGUCAUUUGCUCAAGUUCUUUAGCAUUUUGAUGUGUUAUAUUUUGUAUUUUUUAAUGUUUCAAAUGGGUUAACUAUUUUGUGUGCUUGUAGUGUUGGUUGCGCUACUUGGAAUUGGUACCCAGAUGGAUUUCAUAUCACCUAUUAUGAGUGUGGCGGGAGCCAGAAAAGCUUGUCAAAGUCAAUAUGGGUGGUUGAAGGAAUGAUUGGAUAGAUUAGUAGAGCAACUAACGUCGCAACGACAACAACUUGAUGAGGAAUAACUGGUAAAUCAUUCUUUGAAGCUAAUCAAGAAAAUCUGGAUUGUAAAUAAAACGUUGUUGAAGACAAAGAGAUUGCAUUUAGGGCGGAUAAACUUGAGCUCGAAGUAGUAGGGAUGGAAGCAAACAAGAAACUAUGACAACAUUGAAGAUUUUGGGCUAUAGGAAAGAACAAAGGUGUUUGCAAUUUUGUUUCUUGUUUCACUCUUUUGGGAUUGGAAUCCUGAAACUUACUUAGAAGAUUCUGUGGUAGUGGGUAAGUAGGAAUUGUAAUGUCUGACAGUUUUUGUUAAUAAAGAAGUGUAAUUUGAUUUGGAAAA
Pistacia vera is the source of this 987-nucleotide long non-coding RNA. RefSeq lists it as uncharacterized. The record is from RefSeq and is a predicted model, not a curated record. Lineage: Eukaryota; Viridiplantae; Streptophyta; Magnoliopsida; Sapindales; Anacardiaceae. The transcript is spliced from 2 exons.